UCCGCGCCAUCAGAGAGUUUGAUCCUGGCUCAGAUUUGAACGCUGGCGGCAGGCCUAACACAUGCAAGUCGAGCGGAAACGAGAAGUAGCUUGCUACUUCGGCGUCGAGCAGCGGACGGGUGAGUAAUGCCUAGGAAGUUGCCCAGUAGAGGGGGAUACCAUUGGAAACGAUGGCUAAUACCGCAUAUUCUCUUUGGAGCAAAGCAGGGGACCUUCGGGCCUUGCGCUAUUGGAUACGCCUAGGUGGGAUUAGCUAGUUGGUGAGGUAAUGGCUCACCCAAGGCAACGAUCCCUAGCUGGUCUGAGAGGAUGAUCAGCCACACUGGAACUGAGACACGGUCCAGACUCCUACGGGAGGCAGCAGUGGGGAAUAUUGCACAAUGGGCGAAAGCCUGAUGCAGCCAUGCCGCGUGUAUGAAGAAGGCCUUCGGGUUGUAAAGUACUUUCAGUCGUGAGGAAGGGGGUAAGUUUAAUACGCUUAUCUCUUGACGUUAGCGACAGAAGAAGCACCGGCUAACUCCGUG
Molecule: ribosomal RNA, 524 nt
Filed under: uncultured Vibrio sp.
Lineage: Bacteria; Pseudomonadati; Pseudomonadota; Gammaproteobacteria; Vibrionales; Vibrionaceae
Description: bacterial SSU rRNA
Rfam family: Bacterial small subunit ribosomal RNA
Source: RNAcentral